RNAcentral lists this transfer RNA (66 nucleotides) under Tenebrionoidea sp. 17 KM-2017. RNAcentral's name for it is "tRNA-Ile". The record is from RNAcentral. Lineage: Eukaryota; Metazoa; Arthropoda; Insecta; Coleoptera.
AGUGUGAUGCCUGAUAAAAGGACUAUCUUGAUAGGAUAACUCAUGUGCUUAUAAACACUCUCACUA